UAACAAGGAUUCCCCUAGUAACUGCGAGUGAAGCGGGAAAAGCUCAAAUUUAAAAUCUGGCAGUUUCACUGUCCGAGUUGUAAUCUGGAGAAGCAUUUUCUGUGUCAGACCGUGUACAAGUCUCUUGGAAUAGAGCGUCAUAGAGGGUGAGAAUCCCGUCCAUGACACGGAUUACUGAUGCUUUGUGAUAUGCUCUCGAAGAGUCGAGUUGUUUGGGAAUGCAGCUCAAAAUGGGUGGUAAAUUCCAUCUAAAGCUAAAUAUUGGCGAGAGACCGAUAGCGAACAAGUACCGUGAGGGAAAGAUGAAAAGCACUUUGGAAAGAGAGUUAAACAGUACGUGAAAUUGUUGAAAGGGAAACGCUUGAAGUCAGUCGCGUUGUCUGAGACUCAGCCUUGCUUGCAUGGUGUACUUCUCAGUUAACGGGUCAACAUCAAUUUCAGUUGGUGGAUAAAGGCAUUGGGAAUGUGGCACCUUCGGGUGUGUUAUAGCCCUUUGUUGCAUACACUGACCGGGAUUGAGGAACGCAGCACGCCACUAAGGCCAGGGGUUCGCCCCAUGUAACGUGCUUAGGAUGUUGGCAUAAUGGCUUUAAGCGACCCGUCUUGAAACACGGACCAAGGAGUCUAACAUGCCUGCGAGUAUUAGGGUGGAAAACCCUUGUGCGUAAUGAAAGUGAAAGUUGGGACCUCUUGCGAGGGCACCGACGCCCGGCCCUGAAGUUUACUGACGGCGCUGCGGUAGAGCAUGUAUGUUGGGACCCGAAAGAUGGUGAACUAUGCCUGAAUAGGGUGAAGCCAGGGGAAACUCUGGUGGAGGCUCGUAGCGAUUCUGACGUGCAAAUCGAUCGUCAAAUUUGGG
Molecule: ribosomal RNA, 859 nt
Filed under: Xylodon rhododendricola
Lineage: Eukaryota; Fungi; Basidiomycota; Agaricomycetes; Hymenochaetales; Schizoporaceae
Description: Xylodon sp. XWW-2020e partial large subunit ribosomal RNA
Rfam family: Eukaryotic large subunit ribosomal RNA
Source: RNAcentral